Molecule: long non-coding RNA, 2650 nt
Filed under: Olea europaea subsp. europaea
Lineage: Eukaryota; Viridiplantae; Streptophyta; Magnoliopsida; Lamiales; Oleaceae
Source: RNAcentral
GAAGGUGAAGCCCCCGACGUCAUCUCAGUUCUUUUUAUAUCUUAUUUUGAUUUGUUGAUUGUUAUGUUACAAUACUGAACACAACAAAUUUAGGAAGCUAUUGAAAAAGCCCAGGAGAAAAUCGUUGUGAAAUGCUCUAUUUUAAUGUUUUAAUUUUUCUCCAGUAUUGCUCUGUACCGUCAUGAAUCUGUAAAUCUGUGAAUUGCUUUAUGAAUCUGUAAGUCUGUGAAUAGCUCUAUGAAUUGUAUCUGUGAAUUGCUCUAUGAAUUGUCUCUGUGAAUUACUUUCAGACUCAAGUAUUGUUCAAGGAAAUAGAUUCAUUGACAUUGUUUAUCAAUCCAGUAACAUUUGGUUAUAAUGAAAAAAUGAGUGGUAUACCAAGUGCAAAGUCUUAUUAAAAUGUGGAAGGCUGAAAAGGGUUCUAUUUUACCAUGUUACGUUCUGUUUUAUUGCAAAUGAGGGUCUAUAUGUUCCUGUCUUGUUAUAUAAGGAGCAUCUUGAUGCAUCAGAGCACAUGAGAACUAGAUGCUUUUCUUGAUCCUAGAAAAUUCUGAAAAAGACAGGAGUGUAUUCUUCAAGGUUUUCUGUAGCCAAUGUUAAGAGCCCAAAUGGUCCUACUCCUCCUCGUCGAUCCCGUUUGACUGCGAAGCUUUUGAGCAUCAUAUGGACCCCAACUUGUCCAAGCUUUCGAAGGUGAAGAUUACUUCAACAUCAGCCUGUGCAGCUGUAAAAAAAAAUUUGAUUUCAAUUCCCUCUCCCUUCUCGAGUUUCUUAUCUCUCAUUUCUACCUUAUUCCUCUUAGAGCUUGUAAGGGGCCAUUGUGGCAAUUGCUUGCCAUUCGGAUCAAGCACAAUAGUUCUUGGAAUAAGCUGAAUUCCAGCCCAACCCUUUCUCAUAUCAUCAAUACAGCACCAGACUCAUUUGCCCAUCCCUACAAGAUCCUGAUUCUGCUUUCUUGCGCUCUAACCCUCUUGUUCUAACUAUUUGAUUGUUGAUCUGUACUCCUAAGUAUUUGCCUCGCUUACCUUGGAUGACUGUAAUAACUGAUAUACUUGUUGGUUGGUUGAUUCACUUCCCUACUUUUAUUGUGUGCUAAUAAUUUCAAAAAAUUUAGUAGUAGAUUUUUUUUAUGAUGUGAUAAUGAAGCGUAUUCUGAUGAUGGCGGAAAAACUUGAUCAACUUGGUAGCAAAUUUUCUUGAGGAUAUAUUCCUAUUCACUAUGUCUCAUACUUACUGUUUCGUGAGAAAGUUUGUAGUUCAUAAUUUUCUAUCCGCGUUGUUAGGAUGUUUGAGUUAGGGGGAGUAUGAUCUAUUUAUGGUGAGAGGACUGAUUAAGGGAGAAUAGUUCUUAUUCAUAAUUUGAUCAAUAGUUAACACACACUUACAAACAUGACAUUAAAAAUUCAAGAUUUUUUUUUGAAAUUAAGCUAAUCCAAAAGAGGGAUAUUGCUGAGAAAAUAUGUUCCAUAAUUGUACAAAUUUAUUUAUCGACUUACUUAAUUUAUGGUCUGAUUUUUAAAUGCCUAAGAAACUAACAAAAACCUGAAAAGACUAGAGAUUCUAUAAGUAUCCAAUACUGAGGUUGAUAAGUAUAUUCAAAAAAUUUGUAAGGCUACGGCUUUUAGAGUUUUCAUAUUUAAAACAGGAAACGAUUUUUCUGUUAACAUAAUGCAGCUUGUAUUUGAUUGGAAACUUCUCAUCAUAGAUAUUCUCUGAUAAGUUAGUUAAUGGACACUUGAAAACCUACUUCUACUUUGGUUAAUUAAUCAAACGCUUACAUGUUAAUUAAUUAAUUUAAGGGAUGAAGGACGUUUCUACUUCAAGUAGAGUUAUCCUAUCCUAGUUGCUGAGUCGCAUUAGUUAAUUUUAGUCUAUCGUAACAAAUUCCAACUUGAUAUAUUAUCCUGUUAGAGAAAGGAGUGGAAGUGGUAGUUUUUCUUUAAAAAUUGAGUAAUAAAUAGAGUAGUUAUACCCUUGGAUCUAAGUAUUCUUAUUUUCCACUUUUUGAAGUAUUUCGUUAAAUCUCUACUUAUGUAUCUAUCAUAAGCCCCUGUUUGGAGCAGCUUUUCCACAAAAAAAAGGAGCAAUAUAAUUCAGCACCAGAAUUGAUAAAGAGUAUGGAUGGCCUCAACAAAAGAGUAAAAGUGUUGAGCAAGAAAAUGUAAGUGCGAAACUAUCGUUACUGAUUGAUAUUCUAUAUUUCAUAUUCUUUUCUAUAUUCAAAUUAUCAAAUUGUACUUUCAUAUGAAUUUUACAGCAUAGUGAUAGAAGCUCGAAUGAUUUAGAUAAUCGUCAGAGUAAGAAAUGCAAAUUGUUACGUUUGUUUGGGGAAGCCAAUGUAGUUGCUAAUGGUGAAAUCGCAUCAACAAAUCCUUGUGAUGUAGUACAUCAUGUACCCUUGGCGAUGAAUGUUGGAGAGUUUGGGUUAAUGAAGUUAUUGACAAUGUUACCUUAUAUCGUCCCACAUGUGGGCUAUUUCUUCUUGAAGAUGCAUUAGGAAGUACAAUUGCAUGGCCAAUCAGGUUCAUCAAAAUGGAUUAACUAUAAGCACAACAAACGUAUGCUUUACUUUGUUUUUUUAUAUCAUUUGUCAUUUGCGUACUCACUUUAAUUUAUUAACUAUACAUUCAUUUAUUUUUGUGAUGUGCAG